AAUGGAAAUACAUGUCCUCAAUAGUCCACAGUAUGAGUCAUAAUACCCAUGAAGCCUAGCGGUCAAAAGGAAAUGGUUCCAAUAAUUUGUCCACCAUUCAUUUUACCCCAUAGGGGAUUUUAGAAGCACUUAAAAUAAGGGCUGCGUUUCGUGUAGGCUUUCCCCGGAGUGACAUUUUGAUAACCAUGUACAGUUCUCUAGGACAAGGUGACUUUUAUCAAUAUAUUCGUCUGUAUUUACCCCACCAUAAUGAAAUGCUAAUUAGCUGCAAAUGUGGCUAUCAUAAAGAACUACAAAUGCCAUGAUGAUCUGGACGAGACUGACAAAUCUAGGCAAAGUAGCUACUAUCUUGCCUCAUCGCUACAACUCCCGUACGGGCUCGGGAGAGACGAAGGUUGAAAGUCAUGCAUCCUCCGACACACAACCCAACCAAGCCGCACUGCUUCUUAACACAGUGCGCAUCCAACCCGGAAGCCAGCCGCACCAAUGCGCCGGAGGAAACACCGUGCACCUGGCCACCUUGGCUAGCGCACACUGCGCCCAGCCCGCCACAGGAGUCGCUGGUGCGCGAUGAGACAAGGACACCCCUACCGACCAAGCCCUCCCUAGGCCAAUUGUGCGUCGCCCCACGGACCUCCCGGUCACGGCCGGUUACGACAGAGCCUGGGCGCGAACCCAGGGACUCUGAUGGCACAGCUGGCGCUGCAGUACAGCGCCCUUAACCACUGUGCCACCCGGGAGGCUCCAAGAGAGAUUUAUAUCGUUAUCAAAAUGUCACGCCAGGGUAAGCCUACACGAAACUGAGCCUUUCUUUUAAGUGUUUCUAAAAUCCCCUUUGGGAAAAAUUUAUGGUGGAAAAACGACUGGAACCAUUUCCCUAUUUGAACGCUAGGUUUUAUGGGUACUAAGACUCUUCCACUGUAGGGCUCUAUGAUUUAAAGGCAGGCGAGAUCAAGUGGGACCAUUCUAACCAAUGAGAGGGCAGAUACGCAUGUGAACAACAGGCACAAUUAAGUAAUUUUUCUCAAAGUUGCCACAAUGCCACAUGCAUCCACUUAUAUCAGUACAUUUGUAACAGCCUAAACAUUACUAAACAUAUUUUAUUUUGCUUCUUUACCCCCUUUUUCUCCCCAAUUGAGAUCCUGUCUCAUCGCUGCAACUCCCCUAUGGGUUCAUGCGUCCUUCAAAACACACUCCUUAACACCUGCCCGCUUAACCCGAAAGCCAGCCUCACCAAUGUGUCGAAAGGAAACACUGUUCAACUGACAACCAAAGUUAGCCUGCAGGCGCCCAGCCCACCACAAAAGUGUGAUGAGCCAAGUAAAGCCUCCACGGCCAAACCCUCCCCUAACCCAGACGAUGCUGGGCCAAUUCUGUGCCGACACAACCCAGGGUAGAACCCGGGUCUAUAGUGACACCUCAAGCACCACGAUACAGUGACUUAGACCUCUGCGCCACUCAGGGGGCCCACAUUUGCUAAACUUCUAUUAGAUCAAAUAAGCCUCAUGUAAUUUGACACUCUCAUAGACCUCCAUACAAAAAAUGCCUUAUCUCAUGAGGACAGAUUUUGGGCAGAGUAAUUCCUUUCUCUUCGCAUUUUCCUCUCUGGCUUCCCCAGCUGCUGUGAUUGCUGCGGAGAAGGUGGAGGUCAAAGAGGGGUGAGUGUAACCGAUGUGAAAUGGCUAGCUAGUUAGUAGUAGCGUUCAAUCGGUGUCUUCUCUAUUGAGACCUUGAAGUACAUAUUGAUACAUUUUUAAAGGCUUUCCAAAGCCAUAAGAUGGUACGUUUUAAUAAAUACAUUUUUGUUUAUUUGGCCUUUCAAUUCUUAUGUUCAGACUCAGAUUUUUUUCCUCCAUGCAUUUAUAAUUGCUUUAUUUGGUAACAUUGACACUUUGCCUAUAAUAAAAUCAAAUGUUUUCCCAACUCGCAAAAUUGAGACAGCUUCAGCAGAAUUUUGUAAUCCCAGCUGUAGAGGCCUUUAAAGUCAUAGCACCUGGUAGGGUAUUCAUUGUGUCAGCUAUUGUACACUUUAGUACAAGCUAUAAAUGCUGUUACGUUUCACUUUAACUCUCAUCUUAGCUUUAUCACAUUUCUGUAAAGCAAGAAAUAAAUCAGUAAAUUGAAUUUGAGUGGAAAAUAUAUAAUGAAAAACAUUUGUAUUAUGUUGAAAUACUCUUUAAAACCAUCUGGGUUGGUGUUUAUGUUUUCAUAAAGGCACUCCCAUUUUGAUAUCUGUUCACCACAACAACUUAUGGUUUGUAUUCAGUCCACACCCCUGUUUCAGGACAUGACUCAUACGUUCUAGCCACUGCCUUCUGAAUGCCUGAUUCUAAAUGCCAUGCUGAAUAUGGAUGGAAAAUAAAAGGCAGUUGUUUCUGUCAAAAUAGGAA
Molecule: long non-coding RNA, 2390 nt
Organism: Oncorhynchus nerka (sockeye salmon)
Lineage: Eukaryota; Metazoa; Chordata; Actinopteri; Salmoniformes; Salmonidae
Exons: 2
Source: RefSeq, a predicted model, not a curated record